GACAGAGGGUGCAAACGUUGCUCGGAAUUACUGGGCGUAAAGAGCUCGUAGGCGGUUUGUCGCGUCUGCUGUGAAAACUCAGGGCUUAACCCUGAGCUUGCAGUGGGUACGGGCAGACUAGAGUGCGGUAGGGGAGACUGGAAUUCCUGGUGUAGCGGUGAAAUGCGCAGAUAUCAGGAGGAACACCGGUGGCGAAGGCGGGGUCUCUGGGCCGUAACUGACGCUGGAGGAGCGAAAGCAUGGGGAGCGAACAGG
RNAcentral lists this ribosomal RNA (255 nucleotides) under uncultured bacterium. RNAcentral's name for it is "partial 16S ribosomal RNA". It matches the Rfam family "Bacterial small subunit ribosomal RNA", at positions 524 to 776 of the family's 1533-position model. The record is from RNAcentral.